This 253-nucleotide ribosomal RNA is filed under the name uncultured bacterium. Its description in RNAcentral is "partial 16S ribosomal RNA". It matches the Rfam family "Bacterial small subunit ribosomal RNA", at positions 524 to 776 of the family's 1533-position model. The record is from RNAcentral.
UACAGAGGGGGCAAGCGUUGUUCGGAAUUACUGGGCGUAAAGGGCGCGUAGGCGGCCCGCUAAGUCGAACGUGAAAUCCCCGGGCUCAACCCGAGAACUGCGUCCGAUACUGGCAGGCUUGAAUCCGGGAGAGGGAUGCGGAAUUCCAGGUGUAGCGGUGAAAUGCGUAGAUAUCUGGAGGAACACCGGUGGCGAAGGCGGCACCCUGGACCGGUAUUGACGCUGAGGCGCGAAAGCCAGGGGAGCAAACGGG